CAGUAGCCGCGGUAACACGAAGGGGGCUAGCGUUGUUCGGAAUUACUGGGCGUAAAGCGCACGUAGGCGGGUAUUUAAGUCAGGGGUGAAAUCCCGCAGCUCAACUGCGGAACUGCCUUUGAUACUGGGUAUCUUGAGUAUGGAAGAGGUUAGUGGAAUUGCGAGUGUAGAGGUGAAAUUCGUAGAUAUUCGCAGGAACACCAGUGGCGAAGGCGGCUAACUGGUCCAUAACUGACGCUGAGGUGCGAAAGCGUGGGGAGCAAACAGGAUUAGAUACCCCCGUAGUCCCUGUCUCUUAUAC
RNAcentral lists this ribosomal RNA (301 nucleotides) under uncultured bacterium. Its description in RNAcentral is "partial 16S ribosomal RNA". It matches the Rfam family "Bacterial small subunit ribosomal RNA", at positions 509 to 807 of the family's 1533-position model. The record is from RNAcentral.